CAUCUGAGGGCACGCAGGCGCAUUAAUCUCUGCUCGCCCGAUUCUGGUCCACACUUGCCUGCGGACGAGACACCCCGGUUUCUCCACCGUGGAGGCUGCUCUCGGGGUUCCUCUUAUCCCGCGCCUCAAGGAAGUUUUGUGGUGGUGGGUCAGAACUGAUUUUCCUUGUUGUGAAAUUUAAGAGACAGCUCCAGUCCCAGCUAAAGUCGUUCAGUUAGCAUGAUAGCCAGGGCAUGGUGAGCAUCAGAGAGACUUCGGGUCAGCAUUCCGGCGUUCCCCAGGGGCUUCACACCAUUGCAGGCCCGGACUCACAGGAAUCCUUUGGUUGCAAAGCGCUUUCAUGUCCCUUCUUUUGCGGUCCGUGUGUACAGCCAAGAGGAGACUUCGGGCUAGGGAGCCCACAGCGUUCCCGGCUGCUGUUGCAGUUGCAGGAAGAGUGACGCGAGGGGAGGGUGCUCUCCUGCACUGCGGACUAAUGGCCUUUUUGGCAGCUACACAGUAGUCCAGAAGAUGGGCACAUCCGGCUCUCAACAUUUCAUAACAUCGUCUUUUGAGUUACACCGACAAAAUGGAGUGUCUGGGCUAGCAAAGCCAAGAGCUGGAGGCCCUGGCCUGGAAUGACCUCAUCAAGACCCUGCUGCCCUGGGACACUCUCUCUGAGCAAUCGGUCAGCACCCCCUUCCUGUUGGUCUCUUGCUUUUACAAUUGUUUUAUGAUUUCUGAUUCUGGGAAUGUAAUCUUUCCUCUUGUCACUUCCAGCUUGAGGUUGGAACUCUUCUCUAGGUCUCAGUGCCAGGAAAGAGGUAGGCAGUAUAAGAGCACCCUGUUCACACAUUCCAGCUCCAGUUGUUCCCAUCUUGGUUGGAUUUGUGAAUUUCUGCAGGUUUCCAACCUCUAAGUCACUUUAACUUUUUUUCCCUUCCAUCUGAGAGACCCUGAGGUACAGUAGUUGACAGUACUAGACUAGUCCUAACUCUAAUUAAGGGGUAGCAUAAAUUGGGCACGGUGGCUCACGCCUGUCAUCCCAGCACUUUGGGAGGGUGAGGUGGAAGGAUUGCUUGAGCGCAGGAGUUCAAGACCAGACUAGACAGUAUAGUGAGACUUCGUCUCUGUUGGGGGAGCUAGCAUAGCUUAGAAAUGAAGCCUGUAGCCCCCGAAAGUAGGCUGCUUAAGAUUUGAAUCCCAACUCAUCCACUUACUAACUGGGUGACCCUGGGGGAUCAACAUGUCUCCAUGCCUCAGUUUCCUCAUUUGUAAAAUGACUGUAAAAUGAUUUCUCAUUUGUAAAAGGAUUGUUAUGACGAUUAAAUGAAUGAAUAUUUGUAAAGCAAUAGUGCCUGGCACUUACUAAGGCCUACUGAAGUUUUACUUAAAUAAUACAGUAGAUGGGAAUAUAACAUAAUGAAAUCAACUCCUUAAAAAUGAGCACCCUGGAACAUAAACAUCCAAAUGAGUAUUGUGUUUCAAAUCAGGCAUUCCACUUUCUCCAAACAGCUGCCCAAAAUAUUUUUGGAAUUCUUAUUUGGAGACUAUUUUCAGGGCUAAUUUAUAAGCCAUAUGAGUACAUCCACCUCAAUAUUUAUAAUCACAUUCUAUUUUGAAAUAACUUUUGACUGCUUUUAAAGCCACCUUCAAAGAGAAAAAUGUCACCACUGAGUCUUUUAAGAUGCAAAAAUGUCAAUGACAAUGCCAGAAAUGUUUUAUAAGUAACAUUCCAGCAAAAGAAAAACAAUUUUUUUUUUGGUAGGAGUGUGUAGACUUCAAAGGGCAAACCUACAAGGGACAACAGUAAUUUAGAAGCUUCAGAUUGUCUGCUUAAACCAUCAACCCCAUGGUUUCCUGGUUAUACUUCCUGGUUAUACCUUGUAUAUCUGGGAGCUGCCAGCCCCCACAGGGGCACAGUGUUGAGCAGCUGCAGUAGCAGCCAUAUGCCACUGGACCAGCAGGCUCUGGUCCUGGAAGUCUUGUUCAAAAUUCAGAAUCUUGAUCCACAACUCAGAAUUACCCAGUGAAAGUCUUCAUUUUUAACAAAGUCCUCUCCAAGUGAUUCAUCUGCAUAGGAAAGUUUGAGAAGUGCUGCUCCAGCCUAAAGCUCUAAUGGAAUCCUUCAUUGUUCAUCUUUAUGAGUACUUGGGUUACUAGAAGGGACCUGCCUAAAUCUACUGAGCCUCAUCAAUCGGGGUGUCAUUGAGGUUUUCAAAGUUAGGAGAUGGUGAUCUGGGAGGGGGUCAUCAAAGGGCCCAUGUUUAGGGCCGUCUAGGGAGGAGGCAGCACAUCUGGAUUUCCACUAGAAGGCGCUGUGCCCCAGGAAGUAGUUGUGAAAAGCUGAGGCUGGAAAAGACUCAUUUAAUUUGCAACAUACCACUUCUAACUUAACUGAGCCUGUUCCACAGGGAUUCUCUGGAUAUUCAGGAUUCAAAUUUCAUCCAUCUACUUAUCCAUCCAUCCAUCCAUCCAUCCACCCACUUAUUCAUCAUUCAUUCAUUCAUUCAUUCUUCCCAUAAACUAGCAUCUUUUAGUUCUUAAGUCAUGGGGUGCUGCAAAGCUGUAUAAGAUACUUCUUAUCCAGAGUAGUUUAUUUUUGAGCUGAGUUUGUCAACUGAGAUUUGCCCCUCAUCCAAAGUCAAGUGACUAGCACAGACUGUUCAAGAUGCAUUAGUUGGUCUCUUGUUUUUAGGUACUUCUCUCCAUAUCCACAAAAAGAAACUGUGGGGAGACAUUGUACAGGACUUCAUUGCUGUCAAGAGACCUGAAACUAAUUCCUGAGUCAGGAAGAAUGCAGGAGCUGCCUUGCAGAAGCAAAAGUCUAAAUCAAUGGCUUCCAAACAUUUUAGAACUGAUAAACUAGGACAAACUUUUCACCAUUGAAUGAAAAAAUGAGGUCAAUGUGGUAAGCUUUUGAAAUGCUAAAUACAUUUAAUUCAAAGGACUGUCCUCUAGGUUGAGACAAUGCCCUUCUCAUUUUUGAGGUAUUAAAGUGACUUUUAUAAAACUAUGGAGAAAGUAGGUGUUUGUUUGUUUGUUUUUUAGACGGAGUCUUGCUCUUGGCUCACUGCAACCUCUGCCUCCCAGGUUCAAACAAUUCUCCUGCCUCAGCCUCCCGAGUAGCUGGGAUU
Molecule: non-coding RNA, 3116 nt
Organism: Chlorocebus sabaeus (green monkey)
Lineage: Eukaryota; Metazoa; Chordata; Mammalia; Primates; Cercopithecidae
Source: RefSeq, a predicted model, not a curated record